Molecule: ribosomal RNA, 468 nt
Filed under: uncultured bacterium
Lineage: Bacteria
Description: partial 16S ribosomal RNA
Rfam family: Bacterial small subunit ribosomal RNA
Source: RNAcentral
GACGAACGCUGGCGGCGUGCUUAACACAUGCAAGUCGAACGGUGAUGCCCCAGAUUGCUGGAGUGGAUCAGUGGCGAACGGGUGAGUAACACGUGAGCAACCUGCCCCAGACUCUGGAAUAAGCGCUGGAAACGGCGUCUAAUACUGGAUACGAAACUGGCCCGCAUGGGCAUGGUUUGGAAAGUUCUUCGGUUUGGGAUGGGCUCGCGGCCUAUCAGCUUGUUGGUGAGGUAAUGGCUCACCAAGGCGACGACGGGUAGCCGGCCUGAGAGGGCGACCGGCCACACUGGGACUGAGACACGGCCCAGACUCCUACGGGAGGCAGCAGUGGGGAAUAUUGCACAAUGGGCGAAAGCCUGAUGCAGCGACGCCGCGUGAGGGAUGACGGCCUUCGGGUUGUAAACCUCUUUCAGCAGGGAAGAAGCGAAAGUGACGGUACCUGCAGAAGAAGCACCGGCUAACUGCGUG